RNAcentral lists this ribosomal RNA (279 nucleotides) under uncultured bacterium. RNAcentral describes it as "partial 16S ribosomal RNA". It matches the Rfam family "Bacterial small subunit ribosomal RNA", at positions 506 to 784 of the family's 1533-position model. The record is from RNAcentral.
UGCCAGCCGCCGCGGUAAUACGGAGGGUGCAAGCGUUAUCCGGAAUCACUGGGUUUAAAGGGUGCGUAGGCGGCGUUUUAAGUCAGAGGUGAAAGGCCAUCGCUCAACGAUGGGACUGCCUUUGAUACUGAAGUGCUUGAAUCAGGUUGAGGUUAGCGGAAUGUGACAUGUAGCGGUGAAAUGCAUAGAUAUGUCAUAGAACACCAAUUGCGAAGGCAGCUAACUGGGCUUUGAUUGACGCUGAGGCACGAAAGCGUGGGGAGCGAACAGGAUUAGAUA